ACGCACGCUGGCGGCGUGCUUAACACAUGCAAGUCGAACGGAAAGGCCCUGCUUUUGUGGGGUGCUCGAGUGGCGAACGGGCGAGUAACACGUGAGUAACCUGCCCUUGACUUUGGGAUAACUUCAGGAAACUGGGGCUAAUACCGGAUAGGAGCUCCUGCUGCAUGGUGGGGGUUGGAAAGUUUCGGCGGUUGGGGAUGGACUCGCGGCUUAUCAGCUUGUUGGUGGGGUAGUGGCUUACCAAGGCUUUGACGGGUAGCCGGCCUGAGAGGGUGACCGGCCACAUUGGGACUGAGAUACGGCCCAGACUCCUACGGGAGGCAGCAGUGGGGAAUAUUGCACAAUGGGCGGAAGCCUGAUGCAGCAACGCCGCGUGCGGGAUGACGGCCUUCGGGUUGUAAACCGCUUUCGCCUGUGACGAAGCGUGAGUGACGGUAAUGGGUAAAGAAGCACCGGCUAACUACGUG
Molecule: ribosomal RNA, 467 nt
Filed under: uncultured bacterium
Lineage: Bacteria
Description: partial 16S ribosomal RNA
Rfam family: Bacterial small subunit ribosomal RNA
Source: RNAcentral